Molecule: ribosomal RNA, 495 nt
Filed under: uncultured bacterium
Lineage: Bacteria
Description: partial 16S ribosomal RNA
Rfam family: Bacterial small subunit ribosomal RNA
Source: RNAcentral
GACGAACGCUGGCGGCGUGCCUAAUACAUGCAAGUAGAACGCUGAAGGAGGAGCUUGCUCUUCUGGAUGAGUUGCGAACGGGUGAGUAACGCGUAGGUAACCUGCCUGGUAGCGGGGGAUAACUAUUGGAAACGAUAGCUAAUACCGCAUAAGAGUAGAUGUUGCAUGACAUUUGCUUAAAAGGUGCAAUUGCAUCACUACCAGUUGGACCUGCGUUGUAUUAGCUAGUUGGUGGGGUAACGGCUCACCAAGGCGACGAUACAUAGCCGACCUGGGAGGGGGAUCGGCCACACUGGGACUGAGACACGGCCCAGACUCCUACGGGAGGCAGCAGUAGGGAAUCUUCGGCAAUGGACGGAAGUCUGACCGAGCAACGCCGCGUGAGUGAAGAAGGUUUUCGGAUCGUAAAGCUCUGUUGUAAGAGAAGAACGAGUGUGAGAGUGGAAAGUUCACACUGUGACGGUAGCUUACCAGAAAGGGACGGCUAACUACGUG